RNAcentral lists this ribosomal RNA (460 nucleotides) under uncultured bacterium. Its description in RNAcentral is "partial 16S ribosomal RNA". It matches the Rfam family "Bacterial small subunit ribosomal RNA", at positions 338 to 795 of the family's 1533-position model. The record is from RNAcentral.
CCUACGGGAGGCUGCAGUGAGGAAUAUUGGUCAAUGGGCGGGAGCCUGAACCAGCCAAGUCGCGUGAGGGAAGACGGUCCUAUGGAUUGUAAACCUCUUUAGGCGGGGAGCAAUGCCGGGCACGUGUGCCCGGAGGGAGAGUACCCGCAGAAUAAGCAUCGGCUAACUCCGUGCCAGCAGCCGCGGUAAUACGGGGGAUGCGAGCGUUAUCCGGAUUUAUGGGGUUUAAAGGGUGCGUAGGCGGCUUUUUAAGUCAGCGGUAAAAUGUCCGGGCUCAACCCGGGCCGGUCGUUGAAACUGGGGAUCUUGAGUGGGCGAGAAGUAUGCGGAAUGCGUGGUGUAGCGGUGAAAUGCAUAGAUAUCACGCAGAACUCCGAUUGCGAAGGCAGCAUACCGGCGCCCGACUGACGCUGAGGCACGAAAGCGUGGGGAUCGAACAGGAUUAGAUACCCGUGUAGUC